AUUGAACGCUGGCGGCAUGCCUUACACAUGCAAGUCGAACGGCAGCGCGGACUUCGGUCUGGCGGCGAGUGGCGAACGGGUGAGUAAUGUAUCGGAACGUACCAUUCAGUGGGGGAUAACGUAGCGAAAGUUACGCUAAUACCGCAUAUUCUGUGAGCAGGAAAGCAGGGGAUCGCAAGACCUUGCGCUGAUUGAGCGGCCGAUAUCAGAUUAGCUAGUUGGUGAGGUAAAGGCUCACCAAGGCGACGAUCUGUAGCGGGUCUGAGAGGAUGAUCCGCCACACUGGAACUGAGACACGGUCCAGACUCCUACGGGAGGCAGCAGUGGGGAAUUUUGGACAAUGGGGGCAACCCUGAUCCAGCCAUGCCGCGUGAGUGAAGAAGGCCUUCGGGUUGUAAAGCUCUUUCGGCCGGGAAGAAAUCGUAUGGGUUAAUACCCUGUGCGGAUGACGGUACCGGCAUAAGAAGCACCGGCUAACUACGUGCCAGCAGCCGCGGUAAUACGUAGGGUGCGAGCGUUAAUCGGAAUUACUGGGCGUAAAGCGUGCGCAGGCGGUUUUGUAAGACAGGCGUGAAAUCCCCGGGCUCAACCUGGGAACUGCGCUUGUGACUGCAAGGCUAGAGUAUGGCAGAGGGGGGUG
This 640-nucleotide ribosomal RNA is filed under the name uncultured bacterium. RNAcentral describes it as "bacterial SSU rRNA". It matches the Rfam family "Bacterial small subunit ribosomal RNA", at positions 28 to 663 of the family's 1533-position model. The record is from RNAcentral.